GUAUUAGCUCUAUACAUUUAGAGACUAAUUUAAAUACCUUUAUACAUUUAGGCACUAAUAGUGGUCUUCCAUCAUAUGAAGCCACAUAAUAAGUUCUUAACAAAAUAAGAAAGUUUAAAGACUAAUCUUUAAUGCCUAACAAACUUCCUAAGUAGUAAGCAAAAAAACAUAGUGGCCGAACCCUUCACCACAUUUUCCUUGCUUGUUCCUCUUCUACUUGGCUUCUCCACCUAUAUACAAUUAUACAAGUGAUUAGCUCUUUAUAUCAAAUAUAAAUAUUUAGAAGAUCUAACAAUUUAGAAUUGAAGAUAAGAACAUAAACCAUACCUUGUGGCUUGUCCUUAAGACUUGCAAGGUAUAACCUGCAA
RNAcentral lists this long non-coding RNA (368 nucleotides) under Malus domestica (apple). RNAcentral's name for it is "long non-coding RNA (MDOM_LNC020468)". The record is from RNAcentral. Lineage: Eukaryota; Viridiplantae; Streptophyta; Magnoliopsida; Rosales; Rosaceae.